GGGCGUGUAGCUCAAUUGGAUAGAGUGUCGGCCUCCGAAGCCGCAGGUUGUGGGUUCAACUCCCGCCACGCCCACCA
This 77-nucleotide transfer RNA is filed under the name Pedosphaera sp. RNAcentral's name for it is "tRNA-Arg". It matches the Rfam family "tRNA". From Rfam's summary of the family: Transfer RNA (tRNA) molecules are approximately 80 nucleotides in length. The record is from RNAcentral. RNAcentral also lists the same sequence under 1 other name. Lineage: Bacteria; Pseudomonadati; Verrucomicrobiota; Pedosphaerae; Pedosphaerales; Pedosphaeraceae.